RNAcentral lists this ribosomal RNA (253 nucleotides) under uncultured bacterium. Its description in RNAcentral is "partial 16S ribosomal RNA". It matches the Rfam family "Bacterial small subunit ribosomal RNA", at positions 524 to 776 of the family's 1533-position model. The record is from RNAcentral.
UACGUAGGGGGCGAGCGUUAAUCGGAAUUACUGGGCGUAAAGGGUGCGCAGGCGGCCGAGCAAGUCGGGUGUGAAAGCCCCGAGCUUAACUUGGGAACUGCGCUCGAAACUACUUGGCUAGAGUGUGGCAGAGGGAGGUGGAAUUCCACGUGUAGCGGUGAAAUGCGUAGAGAUGUGGAGGAACACCGAUGGCGAAGGCAGCCUCCUGGGCCAACACUGACGCUCAUGCACGAAAGCGUGGGGAGCGAACAGG